GGGCCGGUAGUUCAGUCUGGUAUGAACGCCGCAUUCGCAAUGCGGAAGCCGGGGGUUCAAAUCCCCCCCGGUCCACCA
This 78-nucleotide transfer RNA is filed under the name Candidatus Bathyarchaeota archaeon. RNAcentral's name for it is "tRNA-Ala". It matches the Rfam family "tRNA". Rfam says of the family: Transfer RNA (tRNA) molecules are approximately 80 nucleotides in length. Their secondary structure includes four short double-helical elements and three loops (D, anti-codon, and T loops). Lineage: Archaea; Thermoproteati; Candidatus Bathyarchaeota. RNAcentral also lists the same sequence under 2 other names. The record is from RNAcentral.